ACGGGUGAGUAACGCGUGGGAAUCUACCCAUCUCUACGGAACAACUCCGGGAAACUGGAGCUAAUACCGUAUACGUCCUUUUGGAGAAAGAUUUAUCGGAGAUGGAUGAGCCCGCGUUGGAUUAGCUAGUUGGUGGGGUAAUGGCCUACCAAGGCGACGAUCCAUAGCUGGUCUGAGAGGAUGAUCAGCCUCACUGGGACUGAGACACGGCCCAGACUCCUACGGGAGGCAGCAGUGGGGAAUAUUGGACAAUGGGCGCAAGCCUGAUCCAGCCAUGCCGCGUGAGUGAUGAAGGCCCUAGGGUUGUAAAGCUCUUUCAACGGUGAAGAUAAUGACGGCAACCGUAGAAGAAGCCCCGGCUAACUUCGUGCCAGCAGCCGCGGUAAUACGAAGGGGGCUAGCGUUGUUCGGAAUUACUGGGCGUAAAGCGCACGUAGGCGGAUACUUAAGUCAGGGGUGAAAUCCCGGGGCUCAACCCCGGAACUGCCUUUGAUACUGGGUAUCUCGAGUCCGGAAGAGGUGAGUGGAAUUCCGAGU
RNAcentral lists this ribosomal RNA (537 nucleotides) under uncultured bacterium. RNAcentral's name for it is "bacterial SSU rRNA". It matches the Rfam family "Bacterial small subunit ribosomal RNA", at positions 102 to 674 of the family's 1533-position model. The record is from RNAcentral.